Homo sapiens (human) is the source of this 4193-nucleotide RNA transcript. It is a transcript of the gene named chromosome 17 open reading frame 107, with no coding region annotated. The record is from RefSeq and is marked validated. NCBI's taxonomy places the organism in Eukaryota, Metazoa, Chordata, Mammalia, Primates, Hominidae. The transcript is spliced from 4 exons.
AAUUCAUGACAAUGAGCGUGGCGACCACCAUGACGAAAAUAAGGAACCUGAGGAGCCCGGAAGGCAUGACAUCACCGUUCCUCCUCCCAGCUACCGAAGGCGCCGCGCGCUGACCUCACAAACACGGCUUCUCCUGGUACGGGCUGGUUACGCCCUCCAGCUGCGCCCCCUACACGACGACAGACGCGUCCCCCAGCCCUUCUCCUGUCCUACCACUUGUGGCGGCCAUGAAGGGGACCCCCAGCUCCCUGGACACCCUGAUGUGGAUCUACCACUUCCACAGCUCCACCGAGGUGGCCCUCCAGCCCCCGCUUCUGUCUUCCCUGGAACUCUCCGUGGCCGCAGCCCAUGAAUAUCUGGAGCAGAGGUUCAGAGAGCUGAAGUCCCUGGAGCCACCCGAACCGAAGAUGCAGGGGAUGCUGCCUGCCCCGAAGCCCACCCUGGGGCUGGUGUUGAGAGAAGCCACAGCCAGCCUCGUGAGCUUCGGCACCACCUUGUUAGAGAUCUCAGCCCUGUGGCUGCAGCAGGAGGCGCGGCGACUAGACGGCAGCGCGGGCCCAGCCCCAGACGGCAGGGAUCCGGGUGCAGCGCUGAGCCGGGUAGCCCAAGCCGCAGGGCAGGGGGUUCGGCAAGCUGGGGCUGCGGUGGGCGCCAGCGCCCGGCUCCUAGUCCAGGGAGCAUGGCUAUGCCUGUGUGGACGGGGUCUGCAGGGGUCUGCCUCAUUCCUGCGACAGUCGCAACAGCAGCUAGGCCUCGGAAUCCCCGGAGAACCGGUGAGCUCAGGACACGGGGUGAGUUAGGGGCCAGAGGCGGCGGGGCUAGGGAGGCACUGAGCCGGACUGUCCCCCAAGAGAGCUACUCGGGAGACCUCCAGGUGACGUCCAGCAGCAGUGAGGAGGACGGCGGACCAGGGACUCCAUCCCCGUACCAGCCCCACCCAGCGUCCGAAUAAAGCCCAGGGCGGGGCGAGACAGCCAGAGCUUUUCCCGGGGUCUCUGGGUUUUGGCCACGCCCCCACCCUUCACACUGGCCACACCCCCGCGGGGGCUCCGGCUUCACCUGCCCAGGAGCGGCACGCUCAGAGAAGUCUCUGGGAUUUUCUGGGCAAUGAGGAACAAGAAGACGGUCUGGGCGAGCAGGACGUUGAUGGAGACCGUGCAUUUCUGGCCGCCGGCUGGAGGGAGAGCCAGUGAGAGCGGGCCCCGCCUCCCGGGAGCGAGCCCGGGUUUGGGGGUAGGUUCGGGGCCACUGCUUACCCUGCGCCGGCAGGAAGUAGGCGAGCAGCACCAGGCCCGAGAUGAGCACACAGGGCACGAUGAUGUUAAUGACGUAGAAGAGCGGCUUCCGGCGGAUGAUGAGCGAGUAGAUGACGUCAGUCUCCCCUGGGCCGUCGGUGGCGCCACCGUGGUGGCGGCGGAUCACCCCCGGGCAGAAGUCGAUGGCCCACUCGCCGUUCUCUGCGGGACGGGGGCACGGUCAGCUGGCUGUCAGAGCGGGGCGCCCGCCGAGCUGACAGCGGGCUGAAGAGGAGGCUGCGGCUGUCUGCACCAGGGUCAUGGGCCGUCAGGAUGGGGGCAAUUACGGACAGAAAAGGGCAUUCUCGUUGAGGGUAUGGAAAGCCAGAAGGCAGGACUAGAGUAACAAUCGAGAAUGAUUUCAGGACAGGGGUAAGCUAAACCCAGUUGUGGAAGUCAUCCUCCAGUGUCGUUGGUCCGGGGCAAGCCCACCGUGGAAGUCCCCUCUCUGGACCCCGUCUAGAAGCGGGUUUUUCUGAGCAGGCAGGGGCUUCACCAGUAUAGGCCUCUGUGUCGAUGUCGAUCUUGUUGAUGGUCUUGCCGUCGUUGUCUACGGCAAAAGUGAACUCCACCUCUUCGGCAUUGUACGUCUGAGAGCUGCGGAGCCAGGGCCGGGAGCCCACCCCAGAAGCUCUGACCUGGGCCCCGGCCUCAGGCCCAGCCCUGGAAGCUGGGAUCUAGCGGGGCCGCGAUCCCAAGCCCACCCCUUCACCCAAGCCCAGCCCGCACGCCUCUGUUCCCAUCUGUACCUCCGGCCGCGCUGGAGCGUCCCACCCAGUGCCUACGCCUGGCUCCGCCUCCAGCGCGAAGCCCCGCCCCGAGGGCGGUGCUUCCCGGUUGGCCCCGCCCCAUAAGGCCCCCCCCCAACAAUAAUCGUCCGGGCCUCGGAGUAGCUCUUCCCACCGGAAAAUAAGCGAACAGUUCUGCCAAUCGAAGGGGAAGUAGGUGACCUCCACUGCGCAGACGCUGCGGUAGAUGGCCGGAGGCAGCCACGUCACGGAGCCGCCCUCGUAGACGAGCACGUUGGCGUCGUAGGCCACUCCGAACUGGCCAUCAAUACUGUGGGCUCGGGGAAACCGAGCUUUUUGCACAGACUCCCUUUCUGGGUCUCUUUGACCCAGCUUACCUCUUUGCAUGUGGCUGGUACAUGGACUAAGUCUCAAAUCUGUGCUGCUGCUUAUUCCAGAGCUUCCGCGUCAAGGCUUGGGACAAGAAUUGUGAUAAAUGCAAAUAUUUAUUCAAACAUCAGUGGACACCUACAAAGUUCCCCCUUACAGGGCCGAGUGCUACGGUUAUUGAGAUGGAUAAAACAAGCCUCAAGGAGUUAUCAUCUAAUGACAGAGACCUAUCAACAGCCAGUGAUGCCAGACUAUGAGAAGCAUAAAAAUAAACAGGUGCUAUAGAAUCUGUAGCUAGGGUGAAUCAGAUCUGUCAGAAAAGCAAGGUUUUGGCCAGGCACAGUGGCUCAUGCCUGUAAUCCUAACUAUUUGGGAGGCUGAGGCUGGAGCAUCACUUGAGCCCAGGAGUUCAAGACCAGCCUGGGCAACACAGUGAGACCCCCCAUCUCUACAAAAAUAAAUAAACAACAACAAAAAAUAUUAGCCAGGCAUCAUGGUGCAUGCCUGUAGUCCCAGCUACUUAGGAGGCUGAGGCGGGAGGAUUGCUUGACCCUAAGAGAUCAAGGACACAGUGAGCUACGAUCACACUACACUCCAGCCUGGGUGACAAGCGAGACCCUAUCUCAAAAAAAUGAAGUUUCCGGCUGGAUGCGGUGGCUCAACACCUGUAAUCCCAGCACUUUGGGAGGCCAAGGCAGGUGGACCACCUGAGGUCAAGAGUUCGAGACCAGUCUGGCCAACAUGGUGAAACCCCAUCUCUACUAAAAACACAAAAAUUAGCUGGGUGUGGUGGCUGGCACCUGUAAUCCCAGCUACUCGGGAGGCUGAGGCAGGAGAAUCACUUGAACCUGGGAGACGGAGGUUGCAGUGAGCCGAGAUCGUGCCACUGCACUCCAGCCCGGGUGACAGAGUGAGACUCCAUCUCAAAAAACAAAAAAAUGAAGUUUCUCCUAGGUUUCCUGUAGUCUUGCACAUGGACUGGAACUUACUAGACCAGUGUCAGAGGCCAAGGCAGCUCCAGAGCCUGUCUCCUGAUCUGUCUCUGCCGCUCUGUCCGCUCUCUGCUCCUCUCACUUCGUCAGCACUGCCCAUUCCCCCUACUUUGCAUGUCCCCUUUCUACUGUGUAGUUUCUGCUUUCUCGUCACCUGUGCAUCAUUUCACCAUGGUCUUAGCCCCAGACCAACUUCUUGGCUUCUCUCUGCAGAGGCAGCACUUUUGUUCCCGUUGCUACUGCCUGAUGCUCUGAGGGCUUGGGGUGCCAACACUGAAGAAGGAUCAUGGGGUUGGCCUAAGACUGCCUUGUUUAGGAUGGAUAGUGGGUGUGGCAGGCCCUGACACCACAUGUCUGGUAAUUCACCCUCUAGCAACCCAGCCCACUUCUCCUAUAUGUUUAGCUCCCAAAACGGCCUGCCAGGAUGCCAUUCUCACUGCUAGAGCUGAAAUAUAUACAAAUAUAUGAAAUAUACAUAAAUUAAUACAGUUAAUAUAAAUUCACUCUAUCCUCCCCAGCAGGAUUCAAACUUGAAAUCUUGCUUCAAAAAGUGAUUAUGAGAAAAAAAAUCUAAUAAUCUGAUCAAAAAGAGGGCAGAAGAUUUGAAUAGACGCUUCUCAAAAUAAGACACACAAAUGCCAAACAGGUAUAAGAAAACGUGCUCAGCAUCAUUGGUCAUCACUGGGAGGCUGAGGUAGGAGAAUUGCUUGAGCCUGGGAGUUCAAGACCAGCCUGGGCAAUAUAGUGAGACCUCAUCUGUAAAUAAAUAAAUAAAAUUUUAAAAAACA